CAGAGACAGAAGCGGAGGAGAGAGAGAGAAAAGGAGCGAUAAAGCAGCGAGGGGAGGGGGAAAGAAACUGAACCAAACAGAUCGAAGUUCAAAAAAGGUUGUUUAUUAUUAACCCUCCCUGCCUCUCAGUGUUCUUAGUGAGCUGUAGGAAAAUGACAGAAGCGGAGUUAUACGAUGAAUAUAAAGGGGUUUACGUGCCUAAACACCUCCACCCUCCUGAGAGCCUGAAAUACUAUGAGGACUUCACUUUCCGGCCGGACGACGUGCUUAUCGUGACCUACCCGAAGUCCGGUACGACAUGGCUGCAGGAGAUCAUACCACUGAUCUUAAGUGCCGGAGAUCUCUGCUCAGUUCAGACUGUACCAAACUGGGACAGGGUACCCUGGCUGGAAGAGCAUCGGGCAAUUGUGCUGAAUCUGGAGCAAAGACCCUCGCCUCGAGCCUUUGCCACCCACUUUCAACAUUAUAUGAUGAACGAGUCGUAUUCCAAAGUGAAGCCAAAGGUCAUUUACGUAAUGCGAAACCCCAAGGAUGUGUUCACAUCUUCCUUCCACUACUAUGGAAUGGCUUCCUACAUGGUGAAUCCAGGCACUGCUGACGAGUUCCUGGAAAAGUUUCUAAAUGGAAAAAUAAUGUUUGGUUCAUGGUUUGAUCAUGUGAAGGGAUGGCUGAACGCUAAAGAUCAAGAGCACAUUUUCUAUAUUGCCUAUGAAGAACUGAUACAGGAUUUGAAAGGAUCUGUCUCAAGAAUUGGCCACUUUCUUGGAAAAUCUCUGAGUCCAGAAGUGGUCGAGAAAAUAGCCGAAAACUGCGUCUUCAAAAACAUGAAGCAGAACAAGAUGUCCAACUACUCUCUGGUUCCGGAAGAGUUCAUGGACCAGAAGAAAUCAGAGUUUCUCAGGAAAGGAGUUGUUGGAGACUGGAAGAACCUUUUCACAGAGGCCCAAACACAGAGAUUCGAUACUGUGUACAAAGACAAAAUGAAGGAUGUGAAGUUUAAAUUUGCCUGGGAUUAAUGGAACUCACUAUAUCCAUAUAACAGUAGUGCCAUUAUGAUGUUAUAACUGCACAGGGUAUAAAGUUUGAUGGUGGCUGAGUACGCACACACACAUACAUUAUAUAUAUAUAUAUAUAUAUGUUGCAUCAUCAGGUUGUAUAUGAUGUUUAUGGUCAUUUGGACUUUGUUGAGCUAAAACUAGAGAAUGUGUCCUUGAACGUUGUUAUCCAUAUUGUUCCAUGCUGAGCAAGUUACUACUUAUGUGAUAACACUGAAGGAUGUCAGAAGUUGAAGGACAUGAGUUUCCUCUCUUGGCUUUCUUGGUUGGUAUAUGAUUGUGUUUUGUUAAAUAUGGCAGUGAACAUUGCAACAGUGAUGUACAGCUUUCCCCACCAUGUUUUUAAAACCAUUAGGCCUAGAUUGUACUGUACCAUUUUUAUUGUGUUUUACAAAACACAGAAGAGAUCAUAUAGAGAUUAUAUAGAGUUGUUGUGCUUUUAGCUAUAUUGUUGACAUACAGACUCUCUGGCACUCUCGGCAGAAACGCUCUUCUUUUAAUGGCAUUAAAACACUGAAUUUAA
Colossoma macropomum (tambaqui) is the source of this 1578-nucleotide RNA transcript. It is a transcript of the gene named sulfotransferase 2B1-like, with no coding region annotated. The transcript is spliced from 7 exons. The record is from RefSeq and is a predicted model, not a curated record. NCBI's taxonomy places the organism in Eukaryota, Metazoa, Chordata, Actinopteri, Characiformes, Serrasalmidae.